RNAcentral lists this ribosomal RNA (557 nucleotides) under Nigrospora sp. SGLMf43. Its description in RNAcentral is "eukaryotic LSU rRNA". It matches the Rfam family "Eukaryotic large subunit ribosomal RNA", at positions 66 to 647 of the family's 3401-position model. Lineage: Eukaryota; Fungi; Ascomycota; Sordariomycetes; Amphisphaeriales; Apiosporaceae. The record is from RNAcentral.
CAACAGGGAUUCCCCUGGUAACGGCGAGUGAAGCGGGAACAGCUCAAAUUUGAAAUCUGGCCCUCGGGUCCGAGUUGUAAUUUGUAGAGGAUGCUUUUGGUGCGGUGCCUUCCGAGUUCCCUGGAACGGGACGCCUUAGAGGGUGAGAGCCCCGUACGGUUGGACGCCUAGCCUCUGUAAAGCUCCUUCGACGAGUCGAGUAGUUUGGGAAUGCUGCUCUAAAUGGGAGGUAUAUUUCUUCUAAAGCUAAAUACUGGCCAGAGACCGAUAGCGCACAAGUAGAGUGAUCGAAAGAUGAAAAGCACUUUGAAAAGAGGGUUAAAUAGCACGUGAAAUUGUUGAAAGGGAAGCGUUUAUCACCAGACUUUUUCUGGGGGGAUCAUCCGGUGUUCUCACCGGUGCACUUCCCCCAGUUGAGGCCAGCAUCGGUUUUCGGAGGGGGAUAAAAGCUUCGGGAAUGUGACUCCCUCGGGAGUGUUAUAGCCCGUUGCAUAAUACCCUUCUGGGGACCGAGGUUCGCGCAUCUGCAAGGAUGCUGGCAUAAUGGUGAUCAACGA